UACGAAGGGGGCUAGCGUUGUUCGGAUUUACUGGGCGUAAAGGGCGCGUAGGCGGGCUGAUCAGUCAGGGGUGAAAUCCCAAGGCUCAACCUUGGAACUGCCUUUGAUACUGUCGGUCUUGAGUUCGAGAGAGGUAAGUGGAACUGCGAGUGUAGAGGUGAAAUUCGUAGAUAUUCGCAAGAACACCAGUGGCGAAGGCGGCUCACUGGCCCGAUACUGACGCUGAUGCACGAAAGCGUGGGGAGCAAACAGG
RNAcentral lists this ribosomal RNA (253 nucleotides) under uncultured bacterium. RNAcentral's name for it is "partial 16S ribosomal RNA". It matches the Rfam family "Bacterial small subunit ribosomal RNA", at positions 524 to 776 of the family's 1533-position model. The record is from RNAcentral.